CCUACGGGCGGCAGCAGUGAGGAAUAUUGGUCAAUGGCCGCGAGACUGAACCAGCCAAGUAGCGUGCAGGAUGACGGCCCUAUGCAUUGUAAACUGCUUUUGUGCGGGGAUAAAAUGCGUCACGUGUGAUUUUUUGUAGGUACCGCAUGAAUAAGGACCGGCUAAUUCCGUGCCAGCAGCCGCGGUAAUACGGAAGGUCCGGGCGUUAUCCGGAUUUAUUGGGUUUAAAGGGAGCGUAGGCCGGAUGUUAAGCCCGCCGUGAAAUGCCGUGGCUCAACCCUGGCACUGCGGUGGAAACUGGCUGGCUUGAGUGGGCGGGAGGUAUGCGGAAUGCGUGGUGUAGCGGUGAAAUGCUUAGAUAUCACGAAGAACUCCGAUUGCGAAGGCAGCAUACGGCCGCGGUACUGACGCUGAAGCUCGAAGGCGUGGGUAUCGAACAGGAUUAGAUACCCCUGUAGUC
Molecule: ribosomal RNA, 460 nt
Filed under: uncultured bacterium
Lineage: Bacteria
Description: partial 16S ribosomal RNA
Rfam family: Bacterial small subunit ribosomal RNA
Source: RNAcentral